RNAcentral lists this non-coding RNA (31 nucleotides) under Mus musculus (house mouse). Lineage: Eukaryota; Metazoa; Chordata; Mammalia; Rodentia; Muridae. The record is from RNAcentral.
UCCAGUCUUUGACAAAGCUGUUCCCAUAUGU